This 252-nucleotide long non-coding RNA is filed under the name Homo sapiens (human). Its description in RNAcentral is "HSALNT0103639". Lineage: Eukaryota; Metazoa; Chordata; Mammalia; Primates; Hominidae. The record is from RNAcentral.
AGCCAAGGACAACAGAGCAGCAAAGAUGACCCAGCUGAGCAGUGACCACAUAAAGCGCACGGUGGCCUGAGCACCCACUGGGCACAGCCCCAUCUACUCUCCUCUCAUGCAACAAAUCAGCAUAAGAAACAUGUGGACUCUGGAAGGUUCUCUCUCAUGGCAAGAAUUUGAAAAAGUAAAUUUAUACUCAGAUUCUAAUUUUAAUAGGGAAGUAAGAGUUACAGCUCAGUGCACAUAAAGUUGAGAAAAAGA